Molecule: ribosomal RNA, 254 nt
Filed under: uncultured bacterium
Lineage: Bacteria
Description: partial 16S ribosomal RNA
Rfam family: Bacterial small subunit ribosomal RNA
Source: RNAcentral
UACGUAGGGUGCAAGCGUUGUCCGGAUUUAUUGGGCGUAAAGAGCUCGUAGGCGGUCUGUCGCGUCGGAUGUGAAAACCCAAUGGCUUAACCUUGGGCCUGCAUUCGAUACGGGCAGACUAGAGUGUGGUAGGGGAAACUGGAACUCCUGGUGUAGCGGUGGAAUGCGCAGAUAUCAGGAAGAACACCGAUGGCGAAGGCAGGUUUCUGGGCCAUAACUGACGCUGAGGAGCGAAAGCGUGGGGAGCAAACAGG